UACGUAGGUGGCAAGCGUUGUCCGGAUUUACUGGGCGUAAAGAGCGCGCAGGCGGUCGUUCAAGUCGAGUGUGAAAGCCCCCGGCUCAACUGGGGAGGGUCACUCGAUACUGAUCGACUUGAAGGCAGGAGAGGGAAGCGGAAUUCCCGGUGUAGUGGUGAAAUGCGUAGAUAUCGGGAGGAACACCAGUGGCGAAGGCGGCUUCCUGGCCUGCUCUUGACGCUGAGGCGCGAAAGCUAGGGUAGCAAACGGG
This 253-nucleotide ribosomal RNA is filed under the name uncultured bacterium. RNAcentral describes it as "partial 16S ribosomal RNA". It matches the Rfam family "Bacterial small subunit ribosomal RNA", at positions 524 to 776 of the family's 1533-position model. The record is from RNAcentral.